CAUCAUGCCCCUUAUGACCUGGGCUACACACGUGCUACAAUGGAUGGUACAACGAGUCGCGAGACCGCGAGGUUUAGCUAAUCUCUUAAAACCAUUCUCAGUUCGGAUUGUAGGCUGCAACUCGCCUACAUGAAGCCGGAAUCGCUAGUAAUCGCGGAUCAGCAUGCCGCGGUGAAUA
Molecule: ribosomal RNA, 178 nt
Filed under: Latilactobacillus curvatus
Lineage: Bacteria; Bacillati; Bacillota; Bacilli; Lactobacillales; Lactobacillaceae
Description: Lactobacillus curvatus partial 16S ribosomal RNA
Rfam family: Bacterial small subunit ribosomal RNA
Source: RNAcentral